This 102-nucleotide microRNA precursor is filed under the name Rosa chinensis. Lineage: Eukaryota; Viridiplantae; Streptophyta; Magnoliopsida; Rosales; Rosaceae. The record is from RNAcentral.
GAGAGAGGCAGAUAUUGGCACGGCUCAAUCAGAUUAAAGGGACUCAACUGAGCAUCGAGAACUUUGAUUUGAUUGAGCCAUUCCAACAUCAUCCAUAUCGUA